CGCCGCCCCCCGACUCAAGCUUUCUUUUCUUGGGCUGCGACAUCUUGGCGGCUCCGACCGACUCCCAGCGGGCGUUGCGCCGCUCCUCGCGGCCUCCAGGAAGCGGGGGCUUCUGGGACUUGUAGUGCGCGCCGGCACCUCCCACUUCCUGGGGGUUCGCAGCACAGGUGCCAGCUAGAAGCCUCCGAGCUCUACUCAACUCUUUUAAUUGCUCCUUGGAGUGGUCUACUCACCACAUCCAUUUGAUGCUCAAUCCCAAUGUCUUUCAAAUGAAUGGAUCUUCAAAUUGAUUUAAUACAUCUUUACCAGCAUUAAAAAAAAAAAAAAAGAAGAAAUAGAAAAUCUCAAGUACAUGAAAUGAGUACAGGUAUAUAUCCUGGUAAUACCAUAAAAAGAUUCAGUGAACUUCCUGUACAUCUGAUCACACAGUAUGUGUUCCCUUGUGCCUAAUUUCUUUUGCUCACCAUUAUGGUUGUGAGAUUCAUCCCUGUGACUAUGUGUAGAAGUAUUCUCUUCACUUUCAUUGCUUUAUUUUAUAAUAUUCCAUUGUAUGAAUAUACCAUAAUUUGUUUAACUGUUUCUGCUAUUGUACAGAUCCUCUGAGGUGGAAAUAAUCAUUCCUACAAGGAAUUUUGUAGUGUUAUUUUUUCUUGUACAGUUCUUUUGACCCUUAAAGUUUUCUACUUUAUAUAAAUAACUUAUUUUUAUCAUCCUAUUAUAUAUUAAGUGCCUAAUAAUAGUUAAAACUUAUU
This is a long non-coding RNA of Panthera uncia (snow leopard), 752 nucleotides long. RefSeq lists it as uncharacterized. The record is from RefSeq and is a predicted model, not a curated record. The transcript has 3 exons. Lineage: Eukaryota; Metazoa; Chordata; Mammalia; Carnivora; Felidae.